Molecule: long non-coding RNA, 441 nt
Filed under: Crocodylus porosus (Australian saltwater crocodile)
Lineage: Eukaryota; Metazoa; Chordata; Crocodylia; Crocodylidae
Description: lncRNA (ENSCPRG00005006643.1)
Source: RNAcentral
CCACUGUCUGUUGAUGUCUGCCACUGGAUUAGCACUGAGAAAACCAAUUCAAGCAAUAAGAAACCAGCUGUCAGGAAGUGUUUUUCCUUGGAGGUGAAUUGCUGGAUGAGUGGAUGGUCACAGAUCUUGCAGUAUACAGAAUGCAAGCACUUCAAAGAAAAGCAAAAUGCUUGCCCUUCCUCCACUACCCCCGAAGGAGGAUGAGCCUAUAGCUGAAGAUAAGUCCCCAUCACUACUUCAGGAGAAUAGACAAAAUAUAAGUAAGUAACAUUUGCUUAGGAAAAAAAAGUAGUUAUCCUUUUUUUUUUCUUUCAUUAACAUAUCACUAUUAUGAGACAUUGCUGCACUCAAAAAUACUGUGUUCUUAAUAAGAUGUAUCAGGUUAGUAUGUGUCCCUGAUACCUACUAGCUGCUCGAAGAUCUUAAUGUUACCUUUUUAAA